RNAcentral lists this ribosomal RNA (480 nucleotides) under Streptococcus mitis. RNAcentral describes it as "bacterial SSU rRNA". It matches the Rfam family "Bacterial small subunit ribosomal RNA", at positions 28 to 493 of the family's 1533-position model. The record is from RNAcentral. Lineage: Bacteria; Bacillati; Bacillota; Bacilli; Lactobacillales; Streptococcaceae.
GACGAACGCUGGCGGCGUGCCUAAUACAUGCAAGUAGAACGCUGAAGGAGGAGCUUGCUUCUCUGGAUGAGUUGCGAACGGGUGAGUAACGCGUAGGUAACCUGCCUGGUAGCGGGGGAUAACUAUUGGAAACGAUAGCUAAUACCGCAUAAGAGUAGAUGUUGCAUGACAUUUGCUUAAAAGGUGCAAUUGCAUCACUACCAGAUGGACCUGCGUUGUAUUAGCUAGUUGGUGAGGUAACGGCUCACCAAGGCGACGAUACAUAGCCGACCUGAGAGGGUGAUCGGCCACACUGGGACUGAGACACGGCCCAGACUCCUACGGGAGGCAGCAGUAGGGAAUCUUCGGCAAUGGACGGAAGUCUGACCGAGCAACGCCGCGUGAGUGGAGAAGGUUUUCGGAUCGUAAAGCUCUGUUGUAAGAGAAGAACGAGUGUGAGAGUGGAAAGUUCACACUGUGACGGUAUCUACCAGAAAGGAC